Equus caballus (horse) is the source of this 1793-nucleotide long non-coding RNA. RefSeq lists it as uncharacterized. The record is from RefSeq and is a predicted model, not a curated record. Lineage: Eukaryota; Metazoa; Chordata; Mammalia; Perissodactyla; Equidae.
CAAUAACCUGCUAACUCCCAAAGUGAAAAUACGGACUUGCUCCUUGUUCAUUUCCAGGUCCACUGGACUGGAGCCAUAAAUGAAGAGUUUUGGCUCAUUAGGAAGGACAGAUUAUCGGGCAUGGUGUGGAGCCACCCAUGCUUUAUGAGGCUGGGAAUGAGUUACACAAAGUCCCGCAGAGUGAGAAAGGAAGAUGUUUGGAAAUAUUUUUCUGCUUAAAGCUCUGAGAUUGCAAGGGUUUUCUUAGCCCUGUGGAAUUUCUCUAAGUGCCUGGGGAUUUCUAGGUUUCUAAGAAGCUUGAGGUGGUUGUUAACCUAAUACACAGUUGAAGGGAGCCAAGACAGCCUUCCUAUGCCAGCUGUGUGGUAGGACGUCUUCUUAAAAGGCUCUUUAAAAUCAGUGAGAGAGAUUCCAUGGUUCACCACCCAGAACAAGGUGCUUUCUUCCAUCUCAUAUGCCAAAAAAGCACUGAAAAUCCAGAGCACCAUUACUGAUUGGAAGACCAAAGGCUUGAUCUAGAAAUCACACACCAGGAGUUGUCUCACAUGGUUAUGGAGGCUGAGAAGUCCCACGAUCUGUAUCUGUAAGCUGGAGAACCAAGAAAGGCAGUGGUGUAAUUCAGUAUAAGUCCACAGGCCUGAAUUGGGUGGUGAGGUGGGCAAUGUUGUAAAUUCCAGUCUGAGUCUGAAAGCCCAAGAACCAGAAGUGCUGACAUCCAAGGGCAGGAGAAGAUGGGUGCCUCAGCUCCAGCAGAGACAGCAAGUUUGCCCUUCCUCCGCCUUUUUGUUCUUUUCAGGCCUUCAGUGGAUUGGGUGACACCUUCCCGAUUGACAGAAGGGGCCACCUGGAAAGGAAUGCGGGCAGCCUCUAGAAGCUGCAAAAGGCAAGACAACAGAUUCUUCUUUAGAGCCUCAAGAAAGGAACACAGCCCUGCUGAUAAUUUGAUGGUAACCCAGUGAGACCCAUUUCAGAUUUCCGACCUCCAGAACUGUGUUGUUUUAAACCACUAAGUUUGUGGUAACUUUUUACAGCAGCCAUAGGAAACUCUUACAGUACUUAAUAAAUGUCAGCUGGUGAUUUAUUUUUUCCCCUUAUUAAGAGAUACCCCUUUAUGAUGAGCAAGUUCUGAGAGAUGUACAUCACAUUUACGUACCUAGUGUCUCAGUCUGCACUCAUUUUCACUUCAACGUCUACCUAGUAUGCUCAAAGUAAAUGCCAUCAAUAGCAAUUGAGAGCACAAAUUCUUACUUAUUGUAUUAUCGUCUGACUGCAAGCAACAGAAACGGACUCUAACUUAAGUAGGAAGGGAAUUUGUUGGCAAGAUAAUAGGUAGUUCCCAGAACUGACUGGAAGGCUGGAGGAUCAGACUUAGAAAACUAUCAGGAGUCGAGAAAGAUCAUGAAUCAGACAACAGAGCCAAAGUGUAGACUGGUAGGGUUCAGAGGCUGCCACUCGACUCUCAGUGACGGUAAUACUAGACUGCCAAUGCCGCGACCGAUUCUGUGAAUAAUUUUUCGAACUCUCUAUCUUUGUGUUACUCACCCAAGAUUCAAGUUCUGGGCAGAAAUGUCCAGUUAGGAUCACACAGCUUUGACAAAGGUGGAUCAGCCCCUUUUACUUUCAUAGUGGUUGAAAGUGUGCUGCCAGCCACCAAGACGUAUACAUUUGGAUUCUCCCAAAUGAGAAGAUGUUGGGGCUCAGAUAACUCCCCAAAUGAAAAAUGUCCACUACACUUACCCUCUCUGAGUGUCUCAGUCUGUUCAGGCUGCUAUAACAGAAUACCAUAGACUGGG